Molecule: small nucleolar RNA, 48 nt
Filed under: Pyrobaculum aerophilum str. IM2
Lineage: Archaea; Thermoproteati; Thermoproteota; Thermoprotei; Thermoproteales; Thermoproteaceae
Description: PAEsR18
Source: RNAcentral
GUGAUGACACCCCAAUAGCCAGAUUAUGAAGAGACUCGCAUGGGCUGA